AUGCAAGUCGUACGAGGGCUUUUAGCCCUAGUGGCGGACGGGUGAGUAACACGUGAGAAUCUGCCCUUAGGAGGAGGAUAACAGCUGGAAACGGUUGCUAAUACUCCAUAUGCCGAGAGGUGAAAGGAAUUUCUGCCUAAGGAGGAGCUCGCGUCUGAUUAGCUAGUUGGUAGGGUAAAGGCCUACCAAGGCGACGAUCAGUAGCUGGUUUGAGAGGAUGAUCAGCCACACUGGGACUGAGACACGGCCCAGACUCCUACGGGAGGCAGCAGUAGGGAAUUUUCCGCAAUGGGCGAAAGCCUGACGGAGCAAUACCGCGUGAGGGAUGACGGCCUGUGGGUUGUAAACCUCUUUUCUCAAGGAAGAAGUUCUGACGGUACUUGAGGAAUAAGCAUCGGCUAACUCUGUGCCAGCAGCCGCGGUAAUACAGAGGAUGCAAGCGUUAUCCGGAAUCACUGGGCAUAAAGCGUCUGUAGGUGGUUUGGUAAGUCUGCUGUUAAAGACUGGGGCUCAACCCCAGAAAAGCAGUGGAAACUGCCAGACUUGAGUGUGGUAGAGGUAAAGGGAAUUCCUAGUGUAGCGGUGAAAUGCGUAGAUAUUAGGAAGAACACCAAUGGCGAAGGCACUUUACUGGGCCAUAACUGACACUGAGAGACGACAGCUAGGGGAGCAAAUGGGAUUAGAUACCCCAGUAGUCCUAGCCGUAAACGAUGGAUACUAGAUGUUGCACGUAUUAACCCGUGCAGUAUCGUAGCU
Molecule: ribosomal RNA, 756 nt
Filed under: uncultured cyanobacterium
Lineage: Bacteria; Bacillati; Cyanobacteriota
Description: bacterial SSU rRNA
Rfam family: Bacterial small subunit ribosomal RNA
Source: RNAcentral